This 1520-nucleotide ribosomal RNA is filed under the name uncultured bacterium. Its description in RNAcentral is "bacterial SSU rRNA". It matches the Rfam family "Bacterial small subunit ribosomal RNA". The record is from RNAcentral.
AGAGUUUGAUCCUGGCUCAGAUUGAACGCUGGCGGCAGGCUUAACACAUGCAAGUCGAGCGGUUUGGUUAGCUUGCUAACCAGAUAGCGGCGAACGGGUGAGGAAUGCUUGGGAAUCUGCCUAGUAGUGGGGGAUAACGUUUCGAAAGGAACGCUAAUACCGCAUACGCCCUACGGGGGAAAGGGGGGGAUCUUCGGACCUCUCGCUAUUAGAUGAGCCCAAGUCGGAUUAGCUAGUUGGUGAGGUAAAGGCUCACCAAGGCGACGAUCCGUAGCUGGUCUGAGAGGAUGAUCAGCCACACUGGAACUGAGACACGGUCCAGACUCCUACGGGAGGCAGCAGUGGGGAAUAUUGGACAAUGGGCGAAAGCCUGAUCCAGCCAUGCCGCGUGUGUGAAGAAGGCCUUCGGGUUGUAAAGCACUUUAAGCGAGGAGGAAUGGCUCUGGGUUAAUACCCUUGAGCAGUGACGUUACUCGCAGAAUAAGCACCGGCUAACUCUGUGCCAGCAGCCGCGGUAAUACAGAGGGUGCAAGCGUUAAUCGGAAUUACUGGGCGUAAAGCGCGCGUAGGCGGUUACGUAAGUUGGAUGUGAAAUCCCCGGGCUCAACCUGGGAAUUGCAUUCAAAACUGCGUGGCUAGAGUGUGGGAGAGGAAGGUAGAAUUCCAGGUGUAGCGGUGAAAUGCGUAGAUAUCUGGAGGAAUACCGAUGGCGAAGGCAGCCUUCUGGCCUAACACUGACGCUGAGGUGCGAAAGCAUGGGGAGCAAACAGGAUUAGAUACCCUGGUAGUCCAUGCCGUAAACGAUGUCUACUAGCCGUUGGGGGACUUGAUCCUUUAGUGGCGCAGCUAACGCAUUAAGUAGACCGCCUGGGGAGUACGGUCGCAAGACUAAAACUCAAAUGAAUUGACGGGGGCCCGCACAAGCGGUGGAGCAUGUGGUUUAAUUCGAUGCAACGCGAAGAACCUUACCUGGCCUUGACAUGUCUGGAAUCCUGUAGAGAUACGGGAGUGCCUUCGGGAAUCAGAACACAGGUGCUGCAUGGCUGUCGUCAGCUCGUGUCGUGAGAUGUUGGGUUAAGUCCCGCAACGAGCGCAACCCUUGUCCUUAGUUGCCAGCACGUAAUGGUGGGGACUCUAGGGAGACUGCCGGUGACAAACCGGAGGAAGGCGGGGACGACGUCAAGUCAUCAUGGCCCUACGGCCAGGGCUACACACGUGCUACAAUGGUCGGUACAAAGGGUUGCCAACUCGCGAGAGUGCGCUAAUCCCAAAAAGCCGAUCGUAGUCCGGAUUGGAGUCUGCAACUCGACUCCAUGAAGUCGGAAUCGCUAGUAAUCGCGGAUCAGAAUGCCGCGGUGAAUACGUUCCCGGGCCUUGUACACACCGCCCGUCACACCAUGGGAGUUUGUUGCACCAGAAGUAGGUAGCUUAACCGCAAGGAGGGCGCUUACCACGGUGUGGCCAAUGACUGGGGUGAAGUCGUAACAAGGUAGCCGUAGGGGAACCUGCGGCUGGAUCAC